Monomorium pharaonis (pharaoh ant) is the source of this 105-nucleotide small nucleolar RNA. Lineage: Eukaryota; Metazoa; Arthropoda; Insecta; Hymenoptera; Formicidae. The record is from RefSeq and is a predicted model, not a curated record.
CUAUAAUGAUGUUUAGCCAUGCUAAUACCGAGAAAUCAUGAAUUUUACAUAUAGAUUUCGCUGAGUUAACCUGUAACAACUGAAUCCUUUAUUACGUAAAAUAGU